Eleginops maclovinus (Patagonian blennie) is the source of this 1131-nucleotide long non-coding RNA. RefSeq lists it as uncharacterized. Lineage: Eukaryota; Metazoa; Chordata; Actinopteri; Perciformes; Eleginopidae. The record is from RefSeq and is a predicted model, not a curated record. The transcript has 5 exons.
GGCAAGCUGUCCUUCCAUUAUCUAAUGCAGAGAGACUGUAUUUCAGCUGUUGAGGAUUAAAUGAGGUGGCUUGGCAUGGACCAGAAAGGAAAUACGAGUGUGAAGCAGCCCCUGUGCAUUUGCCCAUCACGUCAGUCAGUAAAGAUAUCAAAUGCUAAGCUGAGGUCCUCUGGGGAAAGACGAGAGGUCACUGAAUACUUGCACAGACACAAACAGCUCUGGAUGAAUGUUGCGUUAUGUUUUGGCUCCUCUCAUCCAGUAAAGCAGCAUGCCUGCAUACCAUCUGCUUUCAGUGUUAUGUUUGGAUUAGUCAUACUUUCAAUCCAGCAUGCAUUGUGCCUCGAUAUGUGGCUUAAAGACAAAUUCACCGUCCGAUUUAGCCAUGAUAUCAGACCAUCAGUGUUUGGCAAAGCAGUAACAAUCCUAUUGUCCUUUUAAUGCCUCUUAUAACAGGCAGACCUCUGAGGCUGUUCUGUCACAAGCUGAACAUCAGAGAGAGUGAAGAGGCUUUCAGGAGAGACCAGGUCUGCAGAGAAACAUGACUUCCUUUUGGUGCAGCGAGACCUCUGACAAUGACAUAAAGUUGUGUCUGGUUUCACGGGAGGAAACAGCUUGUUGACCUGAGACUCGGCGAUGUCAGCGCGCUCCUGGGCUUCCUCCAUCUCAUGCUGCACCUUCCUGUAUCUGGUCAGGUGGGUGUUGGCCUGCUCCUCCUGUGAGAAAAUUCAACACUAGGGUCUCCACAGUGGCUUUGCCCCCUUCUUUCUUCACAAGUUUCCCCUUGAGGUACAUCUCUGCGGGCUCAGUCACAAAGUAUGCUGAUUUAGCAUCAAAGGGAGUGUUUUGAGCCUCAAUUCUCUCUCGCUCUGGCUUGCGGAGGAAAGCGGGCCGCCGGACCAAAACAUUCCAUUUCCGCGUCCCCCAUGGUUCUUGUUCUCUCUCUUCAGGGUCUCCAGGUGGUCUAAAGCUUCUUCAUAUGAAUUCUUCAUUUUGAACAUCUCUGUGCUGAGAGAACGAGCUUCUUUUAGAGAUCCCUCCAGUUCUGCCUGGCUCUCCUCAAACUUCUGCUUCCACUCUGCAAGAACCUGAACAUGUAAUAAACAAAUGAGUAUUUUGUCGCCUCACAUUACC